ACAUGGAACGGACCCGGUCGACGGCUCCCCGGGUUUGUCGGGCGCGCUCGAGAGGUAGAGGUGGUGGCGGCGGCGGUCUCGGACCCGCCUGCAGCGGCGGCGGUGACGACGCCGUAGCGAGAUCACCAACGCGGCUGUCGAAAUUAUCCAUCGAACGACACGUCCCUGCGACGUGGCAGCCGCUCAACGGAGGGCAGCUCGAUCCCGUCUCCUGAGGAUUAAUCGCAGAUGCUAGACUCCAAGAAAUCAGAGAAAAUUAUAAAUGGGGUAGCCGAUGGGUUCGCUUUCUCCUCCGCACCCGCCGCCCUCGACUCUCGGCGUCACAGAGAGCGAGCGAGCGAGAGGAGGGGGGGAGGAGGGGACGGGAGGGGAGAGAGAGAGAGAGAGAGAGAAAGAGGUGGUAGUUCCUGUUCUUUCUGCCAGCAGUGCACUUGGAAGACUCACAGGUGGGUAUUUAUGAUUUUCUCGAAAAUAUUUUUUUUCAUAGUUGGGGAAAGGAAAGAAGAGGGGAGAGGGGGGGAGAUCGCGCUGAUCCGUCGGGGAUUGCCCUUCUGUGCUCCGAUCAUCGCUUAGUCUUCCUGGGAUUUUGCGAGAAUUCAGGAGGAAGAAGAGGAAGAAACAGAAGCCUCCCUCCCCCUUCCUCGAUCAGGCUCCUCCCUGGUUCAUAGCCAGCUGUUUGAGGACAGGCUGGGCGCCUCCCCCACGGCGCUGGCAGGAACAAGACCCCUGACCUGCCUCCGAGGGUUUCACGCUGGCGUGAGGCCGGCGUACUGGUCGUCUCCGCGUCGCACCAACUAGAAGGUACGACUGAUCUUUCUCCCCUCGUAUUAAUUCCCUAGGGCAACCCUUCCUCCCCCGGUCAAUCUUCGCUCCUCGUUGGUGCUGCUUUCGGGUAUCAGAGUCACCAUGGUCCCGCCAUUGCAGGGCUGCUCCGAGCUCUGGAGCGGCAUGGAGCGUUGUUGGCCCGGCGGCGGGUACUGCCCCUACUUCGACCCCGAUUACGACUCCCUCACCGAAAGAAUCAACCCUCCGAGGUAUCUCUCUCUCUCUCUCN
Molecule: long non-coding RNA, 1054 nt
Filed under: Spirodela polyrhiza (greater duckweed)
Lineage: Eukaryota; Viridiplantae; Streptophyta; Magnoliopsida; Alismatales; Araceae
Description: long non-coding RNA (SPOL_LNC000162)
Source: RNAcentral